Molecule: ribosomal RNA, 257 nt
Filed under: uncultured bacterium
Lineage: Bacteria
Description: partial 16S ribosomal RNA
Rfam family: Bacterial small subunit ribosomal RNA
Source: RNAcentral
GUCCACGCCCUAAACGAUGAGGAGCAGGUGUUGGGGGUAGUACCUCAGUGCCGAAGCUAACGCAAUGACUCCUCCGCCUGGGGAGUAUGCACGCAAGUGUGAAACUCAAAGGAAUUGACGGGGGCCCCGCACAAGCGGUGGAGUAUGUGGUUUAAUUCGAAGCAACGCGAAGAACCUUACCAGGCCUUGACAUGGGAUGCAAAGCAGCAGAGAUGCAGCGGAGGUUAUCAUCCACACAGGUGGUGCAUGGUUGUCGU